GACGUAGGGCGCGAGCGUUGUCCGGAUUUAUUGGGCGUAAAGAGCGUGUAGGCGGCCAGGUAGGUCUGCUGUGAAAACUCGAGGCUCAACCUCGAGACGUCGGCGGAAACCAUCUGGCUAGAGUCCGGAAGAGGAGAGUGGAAUUCCUGGUGUAGCGGUGAAAUGCGCAGAUAUCAGGAAGAACACCCGUGGCGAAGGCAGGUCUCUGGGCCACUACUGACGCUGAGAAGCGAAAGCAUGGGGAGCGAACAGG
RNAcentral lists this ribosomal RNA (253 nucleotides) under uncultured bacterium. Its description in RNAcentral is "partial 16S ribosomal RNA". It matches the Rfam family "Bacterial small subunit ribosomal RNA", at positions 524 to 776 of the family's 1533-position model. The record is from RNAcentral.